This 492-nucleotide ribosomal RNA is filed under the name uncultured bacterium. RNAcentral describes it as "partial 16S ribosomal RNA". It matches the Rfam family "Bacterial small subunit ribosomal RNA", at positions 29 to 507 of the family's 1533-position model. The record is from RNAcentral.
AGUGAACGCUGGCGGUAGGCCUAACACAUGCAAGUCGAACGGCAGCACAGUAAGAGCUUGCUCUUACGGGUGGCGAGUGGCGGACGGGUGAGGAAUACAUCGGAAUCUACUUUUUCGUGGGGGAUAACGUAGGGAAACUUACGCUAAUACCGCAUACGACCUACGGGUGAAAGCAGGGGAUCUUCGGACCUUGCGCGAUUGAAUGAGCCGAUGUCGGAUUAGCUAGUUGGCGGGGUAAAGGCCCACCAAGGCGACGAUCCGUAGCUGGUCUGAGAGGAUGAUCAGCCACACUGGAACUGAGACACGGUUCAGAGUCCUACGGGAGGCAGCAGUGGGGAAUAUUGGACAAUGGGCGCAAGCCUGAUCCAGCCAUACCGCGUGGGUGAAGAAGGCCUUCGGGUUGUAAAGCCCUUUUGUUGGGAAAGAAAAGCAGCAGGUUAAUACCCCGCUGUUCUGACGGUACCCAAAGAAUAAGCACCGGCUAACUUCGUG